GGACUUCCGGGGUGGCGCCAUUGGUAAUGGCGGAUUCCCUCUGAUCCGGAGGGACUGGCUCCACGGAAAACAGGUUUGUUCCGCUACAGCGAAGUGGGGACCCUUUAAAAAAUCACAGGCGGAGGAAGCCUGUGACCAUGGGACUCGGCGGGCACCCUUCGCGCCCCCCCAAUCCGUAAAGGAACCCAAUUACGGGCUCCGGAGCGAAGAGGGGCUAGUGGCGCGGUGCUGAGAGUCAACUGCUUCUUCCGUGGAGCGAAGCCGCACAGCCGUUGCCGGAGAGCGCUACCUUUUUCCUGGACAAUUUGGCUACAAAAACAACUACCCGUGAGCAGAUCAAAUUUGGACAAUUGGACUUUAAACAACGAUCUGUGAGUAGAAGGGAAAAUUGGAUUAAGAAAUUCUUCUUAAUUUGGCACUGAAGCGGGAAGGUCUAAACAGGAAGUCAGCCUUCCGUUUCUUGUAGAUAGAUUAAAGCAAAGACAUGGCAAACUAGAGUUCAGAAAAUCGUUUGUAAAGAAUCAACUUUCAUCAUCUAAAACUACUGAACCCCUUCGGAAGCAGGAGAAGAGGGGGGAUUUUUUCCAGAUUGUUUAAACUUCCAGAAGAGAGUGUAAAGAAAAGUAAUCUUCCACCGUCUUGAACCUGGGAGCGGGGUGUCAGGACAGACGUCUUUGGGAAGUUCAUUGACUAUGGACAAAUGUUUUUGACAGAUAGUUAAAAGAAGAGAAACAUAGUGAUUCCACUGUUCUCUUUCGCAUUUUAAAGGAACAAAUAUUGACAAAAUAUCUGAAAAAGGAAACUAUGUUGUUAGAUUUGCUGU
Non-coding RNA from Podarcis lilfordi (Lilford's wall lizard), 823 nucleotides. The record is from the annotation of a GenBank genome assembly. NCBI's taxonomy places the organism in Eukaryota, Metazoa, Chordata, Lepidosauria, Squamata, Lacertidae.